CAGGGCAUAAUUUAAGUAGAAUACUAGCUUUGGGUGCUAGGUGUAGGAGUUUGAUUCUCCUUGCUCUGA
RNAcentral lists this transfer RNA (69 nucleotides) under Fritziana mitus. RNAcentral's name for it is "tRNA-Pro". It matches the Rfam family "tRNA". Rfam says of the family: Transfer RNA (tRNA) molecules are approximately 80 nucleotides in length. Their secondary structure includes four short double-helical elements and three loops (D, anti-codon, and T loops). The record is from RNAcentral. Lineage: Eukaryota; Metazoa; Chordata; Amphibia; Anura; Hemiphractidae.